RNAcentral lists this ribosomal RNA (497 nucleotides) under uncultured bacterium. RNAcentral describes it as "partial 16S ribosomal RNA". It matches the Rfam family "Bacterial small subunit ribosomal RNA", at positions 28 to 507 of the family's 1533-position model. The record is from RNAcentral.
GAUGAACGCUGGCGGCGUGCCUAAUACAUGCCAGUCAAGCGAACGGACGAGAAGCUUGCUUCUCUGAUGUUAGCGGCGGACGGGUGAGUAACACGUGGAUAACCUACCUAUAAGACUGGGAUAACUUCGGGAAACCGGAGCUAAUACCGGAUGAUAUUUUGAACCGCAUGGUUCAAAAGUGAAAGACGGUCUUGCUGUCACUUAUAGAUGGAUCCGCGCUGCAUUAGCUAGUUGGUAAGGUAACGGCUUACCAAGGCAACGAUGCAUAGCCGACCUGAGAGGGUGAUCGGCCACACUGGAACUGAGACACGGUCCAGACUCCUACGGGAGGCAGCAGUAGGGAAUCUUCCGCAAUGGGCGAAAGCCUGACGGAGCAACGCCGCGUGAGUGAUGAAGGUCUUCGGAUCGUAAAACUCUGUUAUUAGGGAAGAACAUAUGUGUAAGUAACUGUGCACAUCUUGACGGUACCUAAUCAGAAAGCCACGGCUAACUACGUG